This 915-nucleotide ribosomal RNA is filed under the name Streptococcus lutetiensis. Its description in RNAcentral is "bacterial SSU rRNA". It matches the Rfam family "Bacterial small subunit ribosomal RNA", at positions 63 to 961 of the family's 1533-position model. The record is from RNAcentral. Lineage: Bacteria; Bacillati; Bacillota; Bacilli; Lactobacillales; Streptococcaceae.
AGAACGCUGAGACUUUAGCUUGCUAAAGUUGGAAGAGUUGCGAACGGGUGAGUAACGCGUAGGUAACCUGCCUACUAGCGGGGGAUAACUAUUGGAAACGAUAGCUAAUACCGCAUAACAGCAUUUAACCCAUGUUAGAUGCUUGAAAGGAGCAAUUGCUUCACUAGUAGAUGGACCUGCGUUGUAUUAGCUAGUUGGUGAGGUAACGGCUCACCAAGGCGACGAUACAUAGCCGACCUGAGAGGGUGAUCGGCCACACUGGGACUGAGACACGGCCCAGACUCCUACGGGAGGCAGCAGUAGGGAAUCUUCGGCAAUGGGGGCAACCCUGACCGAGCAACGCCGCGUGAGUGAAGAAGGUUUUCGGAUCGUAAAGCUCUGUUGUAAGAGAAGAACGUGUGUGAGAGUGGAAAAUUCACACAGUGACGGUAACUUACCAGAAAGGGACGGCUAACUACGUGCCAGCAGCCGCGGUAAUACGUAGGUCCCGAGCGUUGUCCGGAUUUAUUGGGCGUAAAGCGAGCGCAGGCGGUUUAAUAAGUCUGAAGUUAAAGGCAGUGGCUUAACCAUUGUUCGCUUUGGAAACUGUUAGACUUGAGUGCAGAAGGGGAGAGUGGAAUUCCAUGUGUAGCGGUGAAAUGCGUAGAUAUAUGGAGGAACACCGGUGGCGAAAGCGGCUCUCUGGUCUGUAACUGACGCUGAGGCUCGAAAGCGUGGGGAGCAAACAGGAUUAGAUACCCUGGUAGUCCACGCCGUAAACGAUGAGUGCUAGGUGUUAGGCCCUUUCCGGGGCUUAGUGCCGCAGCUAACGCAUUAAGCACUCCGCCUGGGGAGUACGACCGCAAGGUUGAAACUCAAAGGAAUUGACGGGGGCCCGCACAAGCGGUGGAGCAUGUGGUUUAAUUCCAAGCAACG